CACUGGUCUGCCUCGUUGACAGGAAGCCCAAGGACAAAUAUCUGCAAAAUGUCAAUCUACGCCACAGCCACGGAGAUGGAUAAAGCCCUCGAGGCUAAGGUCCAUGAGUUCUACCAAGAAGGCAUCGAUGGUGGGAUAAUGAUGAAGCUGGACCGUUUCAAAAACCUGGCGGUCCUGGAUCAGACCUUUGAG
Doryrhamphus excisus (bluestripe pipefish) is the source of this 192-nucleotide non-coding RNA. The record is from RefSeq and is a predicted model, not a curated record. NCBI's taxonomy places the organism in Eukaryota, Metazoa, Chordata, Actinopteri, Syngnathiformes, Syngnathidae.